RNAcentral lists this ribosomal RNA (974 nucleotides) under Hemiselmis virescens. RNAcentral describes it as "partial Bacterial large subunit ribosomal RNA". It matches the Rfam family "Bacterial large subunit ribosomal RNA", at positions 498 to 1466 of the family's 2925-position model. Lineage: Eukaryota; Cryptophyceae; Cryptomonadales; Hemiselmidaceae. The record is from RNAcentral.
GUACCGUGAGGGAAAGGUGAAAAGUACCCCGAUAAGGGGAGUGAAAUAGAACCUGAAACCGAAUGCUUACAAGCAGUUGGAGGGCCCAUGUGGCCUGACAGCGUACCUUUUGUAUAAUGGGUCAUCGACUUGGUCUAUCUAGCAAGCUUAAGCCGUUAGGUGUAGGCGUAGCGAAAGCGAGUCUUAAUAGGGCGCCUAGUUUGUUGCAUUAGACCCGAAACCGAGUGAUCUAGCCAUGAGCAGGUUGAAGGUUGGGUAACACCAACUGGAGGACCGAACCCACAUCCGUUGAAAAGGAUCGGGAUGAGCUGUGCCUAGGGGUGAAAGGCCAAUCAAACUCGGAGAUAGCUGGUUCUCUGCGAAAUCUAUUUAGGUAGAGCGUCAUCCGAAUACCCCCGGGGGUAGAGCACUGGAUGGGUAAUGGGGCCCCACAGGCUUACUGAUCCUAACCAAACUCCGAAUACCGGGGAGUACUAGAUGGCAGACACACAGCGGAUGCUAACGUCCGUUGUGGAGAGGGAAACAACCCUGACCUACAGCUAAGGCCCCCAAUUCAUGGCUAAGUGGGAAAGCAGGUGGGACGACCAAAACAACCAGGAGGUUGGCUUAGAAGCAGCCAUCCUUUAAAGAUAGCGUAACAGCUCACUGGUCUAAACAAGCUGUCUUGCGGCGAAGAUGUACCGGGGCUAAAGACAAGUACCGAAGCUGUGGAUUUGCAUGCUUGCAUGCAAGUGGUAGCGGAGCGUUCUGUAAGUCUGCGAAGGUAUGGCGUGAGCCAUGCUGGAGAUAUCAGAAGUGAGAAUGCUGACAUGAGUAGCGAUAAACAGUGUGAGAGACACUGUCGCCGAAAUCCCAAGGGUUCCUGCGCAAGGCUAAUCCGCGCAGGGUGAGUCGGCUCCUAAGGCGAGGCCGAAAGGCGUAGUCGAUGGGAACCAGGUUAAUAUUCCUGGGCCAGGAGGAUGUGACGGAUCUCG